UACGAAGGGGGGCUAGCGUUGCUCGGAAUUAUUGGGCGUAAAGCGCACGUAGGCGGACCAUCAAGUCGGAUGUGAAAUCCCUCGGCUUAACCGAGGACGUGCAUUCGAUACUGAUGGCCUUGAGUACGAAAGAGGAUCGCGGAAUUCCCGGUGUAGAGGUGAAAUUCGUAGAUAUCGGGAGGAACACCAGUGGCGAAGGCGGCGAUCUGGGUCGAUACUGACGCUGAGGUGCGAAAGCGUGGGGAGCAAACAGGG
RNAcentral lists this ribosomal RNA (255 nucleotides) under uncultured bacterium. Its description in RNAcentral is "partial 16S ribosomal RNA". It matches the Rfam family "Bacterial small subunit ribosomal RNA", at positions 524 to 777 of the family's 1533-position model. The record is from RNAcentral.